Long non-coding RNA from Lates calcarifer (barramundi perch), 188 nucleotides. RefSeq lists it as uncharacterized. The transcript has 2 exons. The record is from RefSeq and is a predicted model, not a curated record. Lineage: Eukaryota; Metazoa; Chordata; Actinopteri; Centropomidae.
CUCCCAUAGUUCACAUACUUCUUCAGCCACUCAGGACAAACCUGGGUCAGGUAGUUCUUCCACUGAGCGAUCGAAGCUUUGUUAUCGUCCCACUUGAGUUUGGUGAUGACAGCCUGUGGUUUUGGAGCGAUCCACGUCUCUGUCUUCAGGUCAAAUGCCACAAAGUCUUCUCCAUCAUAACCAAUCUG